GAUGAACGCUGGCGGCGUGCCUAAUGCAUGCAAGCCGAACGGCCUGAUUUAUCAGGCAGUGGCGGACGGGUGAGUAACGCGUAAGAACUUACCCUAAAGUGGGGGACAACCUCGAGAAAUCGGGGCUAAUACCGCAUACGCUCCGCAAGGAGGAAAGCUACGGCGCUUUAGGAUGGGCCCGCGGCGCAUUAGCUAGUUGGUGAGGUAACGGCUCACCAAGGCCACGAUGCGUAGCCGACCUGAGAGGGUGAUCGGCCACACUGGGACUGAGACACGGCCCAGACUCCUACGGGAGGCAG
RNAcentral lists this ribosomal RNA (299 nucleotides) under uncultured Chloroflexota bacterium. RNAcentral describes it as "uncultured Chloroflexi bacterium partial 16S ribosomal RNA". It matches the Rfam family "Bacterial small subunit ribosomal RNA", at positions 28 to 351 of the family's 1533-position model. The record is from RNAcentral. Lineage: Bacteria; Bacillati; Chloroflexota.